CUAGGAAGAUUAUUGACUGUAGAAUGCAAAUCAUGAAUGCUAGCAAAUUGCAAGGUGAUCUAUUGUCCAGACUUUCUAGUGUUUGUAAGUCUGGAAAUUUUCAAAUUUAUUCUGUAUAUCUUUCUCUUCUCCCAAUUUGGCCUAGAGUGGAUUGGAAAAACUUGAUGGCUUCCAUAAAUGUCUUGCCAAGACAUAAGUUUACUGUGUGGAUGGCUGCUCAUGGAAGACUACCAA
RNAcentral lists this long non-coding RNA (234 nucleotides) under Nicotiana benthamiana. RNAcentral's name for it is "long non-coding RNA (NBEN_LNC000977)". Lineage: Eukaryota; Viridiplantae; Streptophyta; Magnoliopsida; Solanales; Solanaceae. The record is from RNAcentral.